RNAcentral lists this ribosomal RNA (253 nucleotides) under uncultured bacterium. RNAcentral describes it as "partial 16S ribosomal RNA". It matches the Rfam family "Bacterial small subunit ribosomal RNA", at positions 524 to 776 of the family's 1533-position model. The record is from RNAcentral.
UACAGAGGUCCCGAGCGUUGUUCGGAUUCAUUGGGCGUAAAGGGUGCGUAGGCGGUCUUCUAAGUUUGAUGUGAAAUCCCGGGGCUCAACCCUGGAAUUGCAUUGAAUACUGGAGGACUAGAGUACUGGAGAGGAAACUGGAAUUUACGGUGUAGCAGUGAAAUGCGUAGAGAUCGUAAGGAAGACCAGUGGCGAAGGCGAGUUUCUGGACAGUGACUGACGCUGAGGCACGAGGGCCAGGGGAGCAAACGGG